Molecule: long non-coding RNA, 1126 nt
Filed under: Fukomys damarensis (Damara mole-rat)
Lineage: Eukaryota; Metazoa; Chordata; Mammalia; Rodentia; Bathyergidae
Description: lncRNA (ENSFDAG00000028454.1)
Source: RNAcentral
CAUGAAUCCAUUUGGGACUUUAUGUAAGUCAUUUGGGACUUAAAACCAUUCUCAGGUUUUUUCAUGAGCCAAUAUAGAGUUCAAUGUUCUUGAAUUAUUUGUCUACAAAAAGAUUGGAUUAAGAGAUUUGAAGAGGACGGGAACACUGAUGGAUCACCACAGACAGUUUGGAGUGGUUCAGAGAUUUGACUCAGGUGCUACAGAGGCCUUUAAUAUGCAGCUCCUGGCUCAAGAGAAAAGGAGGCCAAAUCUACAAAGACAGUGGGAAAGUGAGGGACUCCAGAGAGCAUCAGAGAGAAACACAUCACUAGACCAGAGCACGGAUGCUGUGAGAUGCAACAGCUGAUGAGUGUGACUCCAGGACCAGAACCUGCCAUAUCCCAUGGAGAAAGUGCCGGUCAGAUGUCAUUCCAGAGAGCAGUUGACUGUUUGAACCCAGGACUCAGAGAAGCUGUGUAUUGGCUUCAUUUCAGUGCUCCUAGUGCCAUGGUCCAACAGUGACCAGGUGAGGGACAGUAAUUGGAGAGAGCCAUAGUCAGGGAUCUGCAGUUAGGCUGGCAAGAGACCCCCCUGAGAGGUUUAAACCAGAGGAUACAGGCCCCCACCCCAAUGGCCAGAGGCCAGGCUCAGCCUGAGUCACUCCGGAUCUGAAAGUCGCAGAAUUGGCAACCUCACUCUGAAGCCACUGCCUUCGGGUGCCUGCAUCCAGCCAGUCGGACUGUGACUUGCUCCGACUGUCUUCUUUAUCUACCAACGUGAGCAGGGACAUGUCUUGACCGGACACUACCACAGUUCACAUUCAAAACCACAGAGAAAGUGUUUUUCUGUCUCUGUUUCUUUUUUGUUUUUAUUUUCGUGUGCGUGUGUGUGUUGUUCUUAGGGAUUCUGUUUUGUUUCUGUUUCUCUUCUUCCCUCUUCUCAUUUCUUCCGCACCAACAUAUUGGGGUUAGGGUUAGCGUUGUCUUAAUGAUUACUCUAUAAUUGCGGAUUUCUUUUCUAGACUUAAGGAUGGUACGUAACUGUUUUUUGUUUUUGUUUGUUUGUUUGUUUUUGGUACCGGGAUCAAAAUUAGGACCUUGUACUUGCGAGGCAGGCAGGCACAGGUGCCACUGAGCUAAAGCCCAAG